UACGUAGGCAGCGAGCGUUGUUCGGAAUUACUGGGCGUAAAGAGUACGUAGGCGGUUUGAAAAGUCUGCUAUUAAAGACUGGGGCUUAACUUCAGGAGUGUAGUGGAAACUUUCAGACUAGAGGACAAUAGAGGAAGUCGGAAUUCUCAGUGUAGCGGUGAAAUGCGUAGAUAUUGGGGAAAGAACACCCAGUGGCGAAAAGCGGACUUCUGGGUUGUUACUGACGCUGAGGUACGAAACGUGGGGGAGCAAACGGGG
This 258-nucleotide ribosomal RNA is filed under the name uncultured bacterium. Its description in RNAcentral is "partial 16S ribosomal RNA". It matches the Rfam family "Bacterial small subunit ribosomal RNA", at positions 524 to 777 of the family's 1533-position model. The record is from RNAcentral.